This 76-nucleotide transfer RNA is filed under the name Candidatus Saccharimonadota bacterium. Its description in RNAcentral is "tRNA-Pro". It matches the Rfam family "tRNA". Rfam says of the family: Transfer RNA (tRNA) molecules are approximately 80 nucleotides in length. Their secondary structure includes four short double-helical elements and three loops (D, anti-codon, and T loops). The record is from RNAcentral. Lineage: Bacteria; Candidatus Saccharimonadota.
CUGGGUGUGGCGCAGUUGGUAGCGCGCGCGGUUCGGGACUGCGAGGUCGUCAGUUCAAGUCUGAUCACCCAGACCA